RNAcentral lists this ribosomal RNA (402 nucleotides) under Callulops doriae (Doria's callulops frog). RNAcentral describes it as "partial 16S ribosomal RNA". The record is from RNAcentral. Lineage: Eukaryota; Metazoa; Chordata; Amphibia; Anura; Microhylidae.
AAGUAUACUCUAGACUUAAAAUUCAUUCAAAUAAGGUACAGCCUAUUUGAAACAGGAUACAACCUACAACAGAGGGUAAUGCUAAACUAAUGUGACCAAGUAGGCCUAAAAGCAGCCACCUUUUAAAAAGCGUUAAAGCUCCAUCACACUUUGUUAUUAAUCCCAAUCUAAGCCCAAAACCCCUCACCCAUACUAAAUGACUCCAUACUUAUAUGGAAGGCCUUAUGUUUGAACUAGUAACAAGAAUAACUUCUCCAUAAAUGUAAGUGUAAGCCGAAACGGACUUCCCCAUCGACACUUACCGCCAAUGAAUCAACAGUAAUAACUCGACCAAGAAAACCUUACUACCCCGGGCGUUAACCUUACACAAGAACUUUUCCGGAAAGAUUAAAAAAAGAGGAA